UUUUGGGGGUGUGACAGAUUGGUAUCAGAGCCAUUGGUUAUAGAGAACUAGGUUUUAAUAUGGGAAAACGUUUUUAUUAAAACCAGACUAUAACCAGAACAGUGCUCUCAACGAUCCACAACGACGCUUCGCUCCACGUGCAAGACUCAACAUCCUAGGUAAUAAGGUUUAUGUUUAUUGCCUACAUGCUGGAAUUACAUAGAACUUUGCUCGUGGUCGUUAGAUACAUGGAGCUUGCACAUGGAGGAGCUGGUCGUUGUGGGCUUGGAUCGUGA
This 275-nucleotide long non-coding RNA is filed under the name Helianthus annuus (common sunflower). Its description in RNAcentral is "sRNA HanXRQr2_Chr05g0229611". The record is from RNAcentral. Lineage: Eukaryota; Viridiplantae; Streptophyta; Magnoliopsida; Asterales; Asteraceae.